UACAGAGGGUGCAAGCGUUAAUCGGAAUUACUGGGCGUAAAGCGUGCGUAGGCGGUUAUUUAAGUCGGAUGUGAAAUCCCCGGGCUCAACCUGGGAAUUGCAUUCGAUACUGGGUAGCUAGAGUUCGGCAGAGGGAAGUGGAAUUUCCGGUGUAGCGGUGAAAUGCGUAGAUAUCGGAAGGAACAUCAGUGGCGAAAGCGACUUCCUGGACCAGAACUGACGUUCAGGCACGAAAGCGUGGGGAGCAAACAGG
This 253-nucleotide ribosomal RNA is filed under the name uncultured bacterium. RNAcentral's name for it is "partial 16S ribosomal RNA". It matches the Rfam family "Bacterial small subunit ribosomal RNA", at positions 524 to 776 of the family's 1533-position model. The record is from RNAcentral.